UGGUGGAGUGAUUUGUCUGGUUAAUUCCGUUAACGAACGAGACCUCGACCUGCUAACUAGUCUUCAUAAAAUCCCCUUUAUUGUGGUUUGUGAAGUUUACUUCUUAGAGGGACUAUCGGUUUUAAGCCGGUGGAAGUUCGAGGCAAUAACA
Molecule: ribosomal RNA, 151 nt
Filed under: uncultured eukaryote
Lineage: Eukaryota
Description: partial 18S ribosomal RNA
Rfam family: Eukaryotic small subunit ribosomal RNA
Source: RNAcentral